GAUGAAGUAUCCUUCUUUGCCUCACGUUUCAUCAGUGUCUGAUAAAACUCCACUAGUUCAGGAGCCCGAUGAACCUUCUCACCACUUCCUGUUCCUCUAGGAAGACUGCCUGGUGGAGGGGGUGGACGAGGUGGCCCGCCUGGUGGUGGUGGAGGCGGUGGCGGCAUGCCCGGCAAGGGUGGAGGCAUAGGUGGGCCUGCCGAUGUAACCGCACCGGCAUUAUUUGCAAUGCUAGGAGCAGCUCCUGAUGGUUUAGGUGGUGGACGAGGUGUCCUCGGAGGCCUCUUCUCAACGUUUGCAAGCUUCAUUCUACUCACUGUUUGAGGAUCAUCUGCCUUAG
Molecule: long non-coding RNA, 340 nt
Filed under: Eucalyptus grandis
Lineage: Eukaryota; Viridiplantae; Streptophyta; Magnoliopsida; Myrtales; Myrtaceae
Description: long non-coding RNA (EGRA_LNC001064)
Source: RNAcentral